This 415-nucleotide ribosomal RNA is filed under the name Frigoribacterium sp. F142. Its description in RNAcentral is "bacterial SSU rRNA". It matches the Rfam family "Bacterial small subunit ribosomal RNA", at positions 117 to 546 of the family's 1533-position model. Lineage: Bacteria; Bacillati; Actinomycetota; Actinomycetes; Micrococcales; Microbacteriaceae. RNAcentral also lists the same sequence under 8 other names. The record is from RNAcentral.
GUGAGUAACCUGCCCUUGACUCUGGGAUAAGCGCUAGAAAUGGCGUCUAAUACCGGAUACGAGCUUCAGCCGCAUGGCUAGGAGUUGGAAAGAAUUUUGGUCAAGGAUGGACUCGCGGCCUAUCAGCUAGUUGGUGAGGUAAUGGCUCACCAAGGCGACGACGGGUAGCCGGCCUGAGAGGGUGACCGGCCACACUGGGACUGAGACACGGCCCAGACUCCUACGGGAGGCAGCAGUGGGGAAUAUUGCACAAUGGGCGAAAGCCUGAUGCAGCAACGCCGCGUGAGGGAUGACGGCCUUCGGGUUGUAAACCUCUUUUAGUAGGGAAGAAGCGAAAGUGACGGUACCUGCAGAAAAAGCACCGGCUAACUACGUGCCAGCAGCCGCGGUAAUACGUAGGGUGCAAGCGUUGUCC